AUUGAACGCUGGCGGCAUGCCUAACACAUGCAAGUCGAGCGGAGCGGCAGACGCGGGAGGAAUGCCUAGGAAUCUGCCUGGUCGUAGGGGAUGACGUCCGGUACCGGGAGCUAAUACCGCUAACUCUCAGUUUAGCCUCGGUCGGAUUAGCAUGUUGGUGGGGUAAAGGCAUACCAAGGCGAAGACCCGUAACUGGUCUGAGAGGAUGAUCAGUCACACUGGAACUGAGACACGGUCCAGACUCCUACGGGAGGCAGCAGUGGGGAAUUUUGGACAAUGGGCGAAAGCCUGAUCCAGCCAUGCCGCGUGUAUGAUGAAGGUCUUCGGAUUGUAAAGCACUUUAGGUUGGGAGGCGGUAUCAGCAGAAUAAGCACCGGCUAACUACGUGCCAGCCGCCGCGGUAAUUC
This 407-nucleotide ribosomal RNA is filed under the name uncultured bacterium. Its description in RNAcentral is "partial 16S ribosomal RNA". It matches the Rfam family "Bacterial small subunit ribosomal RNA", at positions 30 to 526 of the family's 1533-position model. The record is from RNAcentral.